GCAUAUCAAUAAGCGGAGGAAAAGAAACUAACAAGGAUUCCCCUAGUAGCGGCGAGCGAAGCGGGAAGAGCUCAAAUUUAUAAUCUGGCACCUUCGGUGUCCGAGUUGUAAUCUCUAGAAAUGUUUUCCGCGUUGGACCGCACACAAGUCUGUUGGAAUACAGCGGCAUAGUGGUGAGACCCCCGUAUAUGGUGCGGACGCCCAGCGCUUUGUGAUACAUUUUCGAAGAGUCGAGUUGUUUGGGAAUGCAGCUCAAAUUGGGUGGUAAAUUCCAUCUAAAGCUAAAUAUUGGCGAGAGACCGAUAGCGAACAAGUACCGUGAGGGAAAGAUGAAAAGCACUUUGGAAAGAGAGUUAACAGUACGUGAAAUUGUUGGAAGGGAAACGCUUGAAGUCAGACUUGCUUGCCGAGCAAUCGGUUUGCAGGCCAGCAUCAGUUUUCCGGGAUGGAUAAUGGUAGAGAGAAGGUAGCAGUUUCGGCUGUGUUAUAGCUCUCUGCUGGAUACAUCUUGGGGGACUGAGGAACGCAGUGUGCCUUUGGCGGGGGUUUCGACCUCUCACACUA
This 564-nucleotide ribosomal RNA is filed under the name Rhodotorula sp. RNAcentral describes it as "partial large subunit ribosomal RNA". It matches the Rfam family "Eukaryotic large subunit ribosomal RNA", at positions 38 to 617 of the family's 3401-position model. The record is from RNAcentral. Lineage: Eukaryota; Fungi; Basidiomycota; Microbotryomycetes; Sporidiobolales; Sporidiobolaceae.